UACGUAGGGUGCAAGCGUUAAUCGGAAUUACUGGGCGUAAAGCGUACGCAGGCGGUUCGUUAAGUCAGAUGUGAAAGCCCCGGGCUCAACCUGGGAACUGCAUUUGAAACUGGCGGGCUUGAGUAUGGCAGAGGGGGGUGGAAUUCCGCGUGUAGCAGUGAAAUGCGUAGAGAUGCGGAGGAACACCGAUGGCGAAGGCAGCCCCCUGGGCCAAUACCGACGCUCAGGCACGAAAGCGUGGGGAGCAAACAGG
RNAcentral lists this ribosomal RNA (253 nucleotides) under uncultured bacterium. RNAcentral describes it as "partial 16S ribosomal RNA". It matches the Rfam family "Bacterial small subunit ribosomal RNA", at positions 524 to 776 of the family's 1533-position model. The record is from RNAcentral.